AUUAAGAUGUCUGAGUAAAGUAAUAAACUGUAAAUUUAUGAAUGGAGUAUAAUCCUCUUAAUA
Molecule: transfer RNA, 63 nt
Filed under: Convexana sp. 1 JW-2022a
Lineage: Eukaryota; Metazoa; Arthropoda; Insecta; Hemiptera; Cicadellidae
Description: tRNA-Tyr
Source: RNAcentral